RNAcentral lists this non-coding RNA (30 nucleotides) under Rattus norvegicus (Norway rat). The record is from RNAcentral. Lineage: Eukaryota; Metazoa; Chordata; Mammalia; Rodentia; Muridae.
UGAGAGUCCUGCCUUCAUUCUAUCCUCUGC